This is a non-coding RNA of Bombina bombina (fire-bellied toad), 73 nucleotides long. Lineage: Eukaryota; Metazoa; Chordata; Amphibia; Anura; Bombinatoridae. The record is from the annotation of a RefSeq genome assembly.
GCCAAAAUAGCUCAGUUGGGAGAGUGUUAGACCGAAGAUCUAAACGUCCCUGGUUAAAUCCCAGGUUUUGGCA